This 409-nucleotide ribosomal RNA is filed under the name uncultured prokaryote. Its description in RNAcentral is "bacterial SSU rRNA". It matches the Rfam family "Bacterial small subunit ribosomal RNA", at positions 355 to 776 of the family's 1533-position model. RNAcentral also lists the same sequence under 1 other name. The record is from RNAcentral.
UGGGGAAUAUUGCACAAUGGGCGAAAGCCUGAUGCAGCGACGCCGCGUGAGGGAUGACGGCCUUUGGGUUGUAAACCUCUUUCAGCAGGGAAGAAGCGCAAGUGACGGUACCUGCAGAAGAAGCACCGGCUAACUACGUGCCAGCAGCCGCGGUAAUACGUAGGGUGCGAGCGUUGUCCGGAAUUAUUGGGCGUAAAGAGCUUGUAGGCGGUCUGUCGCGUCUGCUGUGAAAAUCCGGGGCUCAACCCCGGACUUGCAGUGGGUACGGGCAGACUAGAGUGUGGUAGGGGAGACUGGAAUUCCUGGUGUAGCGGUGAAAUGCGCAGAUAUCAGGAGGAACACCGAUGGCGAAGGCAGGUCUCUGGGCCAUAACUGACGCUGAGAAGCGAAAGCAUGGGGAGCGAACAGG